RNAcentral lists this microRNA precursor (67 nucleotides) under Bombyx mori (domestic silkworm). Its description in RNAcentral is "mir-2774 microRNA precursor family". It matches the Rfam family "mir-2774 microRNA precursor family". Lineage: Eukaryota; Metazoa; Arthropoda; Insecta; Lepidoptera; Bombycidae. The record is from Rfam by way of RNAcentral.
ACAACAUUCGGACCGUCGGUCUACCGAGUAAUAUAACCCACUCGGUUUAAGAUCUUACUUCCGUCGU